This is a long non-coding RNA of Cercocebus atys (sooty mangabey), 1459 nucleotides long. RefSeq lists it as uncharacterized. The transcript has 2 exons. NCBI's taxonomy places the organism in Eukaryota, Metazoa, Chordata, Mammalia, Primates, Cercopithecidae. The record is from RefSeq and is a predicted model, not a curated record.
AAUAAAUAAAUAAAUAAAUAAAGUGUAUGAGGUGGGAAUGCCAGCAGGUAAGGAGAAAUUGUCCGGUCAGGUGACGUACCUUGUGUGAGUUUCCAUGUGCACAAGGUGCAAUGAUGUUCUAUAUAUUUGGGAACACAUUAUUGUUCUGUCGGUCGAGAUGGCAAAAAUUACAUCAGAAUUAGGCAAACAUGAAACAGGGAGUGUGAUACUUAGAGCCAAGGGCAUGUAGAGAAAGGAAGAGUCUGGAGUCUAGAGUUUUGACAUUUGUCCCACACGAGAGGGCGGAGACAGUGGGGCUGGGCAGGAGUGCUGCUCAACCGCCUAUUGGCUCUUGGCUCCAGCAAACUACACUACAACUCAAGGUCAGCCACGAAGAGCACCCGGAGAGGGGAGGAGCUGGUCACCACCAGCACUGCCCACCUGUUUUAAGCAGUCCAAGCGGUCCCAGCGCCCUCAGAAGAGACCCUUGCCCUCUGAUCCGAAAUCUUGCUGGCAGCCGGGCCACUGGGCUCUGCUCCUGGCAGACAUCAUCUCCAGCCCCAGGGUGCAGCUUCCUGCCAUGGCUGGUCUCAGGGUGGCCUCUUCCACCCCUGCUUUCCCUUUGUGCUCUUUCUUUCAUCCCCUAUGUAAUGAAUUCUCUGCACGAAAUUCCCUCUCCCAUGCUGUAUGUUCUGUUUUCCAGACUAACACAGACUGAGACAAGUGGAUUUGCAGAGGACCCCGGACUCAGUUGCCAUGGAUCCCAGGUUGCAAGUUAUGUAAUCUGAGCAUUUCCAGAUGAACCAAGCACACAACCAUGGGCAGAAUCCAAGUGCUGGGACCAAGGAAGGAGGAACGAGUUCAGAGCGGACACCUCAUGGCCUGAUCCAGGAUGCGAUCAGAUCCAGCCCCGGCAUCACUUCAUUGCAAGAACCAAUCGGACCACGCCUCAUUACCCUCUGCCUGUAAAACCUGCCCCAUCCCCCAGCUAGGGAAGACAAAUUUGCACGUUGCCUCCUGUCUCCUUGCCAUUCGACUUACAAUGCAGCCUUUCUUUUCAUGAAAAGCUGGUGCCAUAGUAGUGGCUUCUAUGAGCAUUGGGCAGGGAGCCCACUGCUUCCUUGGAAGCAUAAGGAGGGCCCUGGAGUUGUGGGUAACAGGAGAUACACCGAGCCUAAGUACUUCCUGUGGGUGGCCCCUGCUGUUGUUCCCAUUUGCCUAAAUGUUAUGAGUAAACCAAGUGCUGAAAAAUCCUUGUGGCCUUGCCUGAACUACCUGUCCGCUUACCACACAGUGAAACCCUUCAGUCAGGAAUCCAUGGAGCUUGCUCCGCCAGCCUGCAGCCUCCCCUCUGCCUUGGGCUGCCACCAAAGCAGCUGGCAACAUCCAGGUGCUUGGAAUAGGGGAGCCCCAACCCAACCCCGUGGCAAAAAUCCAAGUCAUGGGCUUUCUCAAUAUGUAAUAAGAUGACCUGAAAACA